Molecule: ribosomal RNA, 442 nt
Filed under: uncultured bacterium
Lineage: Bacteria
Description: bacterial SSU rRNA
Rfam family: Bacterial small subunit ribosomal RNA
Source: RNAcentral
AACGCGAAGAACCUUACCAACCUUUGACAUGUCCAGUAUGAGCCUGAGAGAUCAGGUUCUUCAGUUCGGCUGGCUGGAACACAGGUGCUGCAUGGCUGUCGUCAGCUCGUGUCGUGAGAUGUUGGGUUAAGUCCCGCAACGAGCGCAACCCUCAUCUUUAGUUGCUACCAUUCAGUUGGGCACUCUAAAGAAACCGCCGGUGACAAGCCGGAGGAAGGCGGGGAUGACGUCAAGUCCUCAUGGCCCUUACAGGUUGGGCUACACACGUACUACAAUGGUGGUGACAGUGGGUUGCGAAGUCGCAAGAUGGAGCCAAUCCCCAAAAGCCAUCUCAGUUCAGAUUGUACCCUGCAACUCGGGUGCAUGAAGUUGGAAUCGCUAGUAAUCGCAGAUCAGCACGCUGCGGUGAAUACGUUCCCGGGCCUUGUACACACCGCUAGUC